CAACCGCUGGCGUAUUGACGUGGAUGUUG
Molecule: non-coding RNA, 29 nt
Filed under: unclassified sequences
Description: L19-Flavobacteria ribosomal protein leader
Rfam family: L19-Flavobacteria ribosomal protein leader
Source: RNAcentral